Molecule: ribosomal RNA, 138 nt
Filed under: uncultured bacterium
Lineage: Bacteria
Description: partial 16S ribosomal RNA
Rfam family: Bacterial small subunit ribosomal RNA
Source: RNAcentral
UGGGGAAUAUUGCACAAUGGGGGAAACCCUGAUGCAGCGACGCCGCGUGAGCGAUGAAGUAUUUCGGUAUGUAAAGCUCUAUCAGCAGGGAAGAAAAAUGACGGUACCUGACUAAGAAGCCCCGGCUAACUACGUGCC